RNAcentral lists this ribosomal RNA (2503 nucleotides) under Salmonella enterica subsp. houtenae. RNAcentral describes it as "partial 23S ribosomal RNA". It matches the Rfam family "Bacterial large subunit ribosomal RNA", at positions 415 to 2716 of the family's 2925-position model. Lineage: Bacteria; Pseudomonadati; Pseudomonadota; Gammaproteobacteria; Enterobacterales; Enterobacteriaceae. The record is from RNAcentral.
GGGCGGGACACGUGGUAUCCUGUCUGAAUAUGGGGGGACCAUCCUCCAAGGCUAAAUACUCCUGACUGACCGAUAGUGAACCAGUACCGUGAGGGAAAGGCGAAAAGAACCCCGGCGAGGGGAGUGAAACAGAACCUGAAACCGUGUACGUACAAGCAGUGGGAGCCCCACCACUAAGCCAGUGGUGAACUCCACAUACGCAUCCUUUGCUGAGGAUACGGUUAACGGAGCGAAAGCGACGUUUAACCGCAAAAGAAGCAGAGGGGGCUUAGUGGUGGGGUGACUGCGUACCUUUUGUAUAAUGGGUCAGCGACUUAUAUUCUGUAGCAAGGUUAACCGCAUAGGGGAGCCGGAGGGAAACCGAGUCUUAAUUGGGCGUUAAGUUGCAGGGUAUAGACCCGAAACCCGGUGAUCUAGCCAUGGGCAGGUUGAAGGUUGGGUAACACUAACUGGAGGACCGAACCGACUAAUGUUGAAAAAUUAGCGGAUGACCUGUGGCUGGGGGUGAAAGGCCAAUCAAACCGGGAGAUAGCUGGUUCUCCCCGAAAGCUAUUUAGGUAGCGCCUCGUGAAUUCAUCUCCGGGGGUAGAGCACUGUUUCGGCCAGGGGGCCAUCCCGGCUUACCAAUCCGAUGCAAACUGCGAAUACCGGAGAAUGUUAUCACGGGAGACACACGGCGGGUGCUAACGUCCGUCGUGAAGAGGGAAACAACCCAGACCGCCAGCUAAGGUCCCAAAGUCAUGGUUAAGUGGGAAACGAUGUGGGAAGGCCCAGACAGCCAGGAUGUUGGCUUAGAAGCAGCCAUCAUUUAAAGAAAGCGUAAUAGCUCACUGGUCGAGUCGGCCUGCGCGGAAGAUGUAACGGGGCUAAACCAUGCACCGAAGCUGCGGCAGCGAACGUAUCACCCAAGACAACUUUACACAGUUGACGACUGACGGAGCGAAGCGACGUCAAAGCGUUUUACAACGUCGAGUUGGCUUAGGGAUACGUUCGUUGGGUAGGGGAGCGUUCUGUAAGCCGUUGAAGGUGUGUCGUGAGGCAUGCUGGAGGUAUCAGAAGUGCGAAUGCUGACAUAAGUAACGAUAAAGCGGGUGAAAAGCCCGCUCGCCGGAAGACCAAGGGUUCCUGUCCAACGUUAAUCGGGGCAGGGUGAGUCGACCCCUAAGGCGAGGCCGAAAGGCGUAGUCGAUGGGAAACGGGUUAAUAUUCCCGUACUUGGUGUUACUGCGAAGGGGGGACGGAGAAGGCUAUGUUGGCCGGGCGACGGUUGUCCCGGUUUAAGCGUGCAGGUGUGUGUUCCAGGUAAAUCCGGUUCACUUUAACACUGAGGCGUGAUGACGAGGCACCACGGUGCUGAAGCAACAAAUGCCCUGCUUCCAGGAAAAGCCUCUAAGCCUCAGGUAACAUCAAAUCGUACCCCAAACCGACACAGGUGGUCAGGUAGAGAAUACCAAGGCGCUUGAGAGAACUCGGGUGAAGGAACUAGGCAAAAUGGUGCCGUAACUUCGGGAGAAGGCACGCUGACACGUAGGUGAAGUGGUUUACCCAUGGAGCUGAAGUCAGUCGAAGAUACCAGCUGGCUGCAACUGUUUAUUAAAAACACAGCACUGUGCAAACACGAAAGUGGACGUAUACGGUGUGACGCCUGCCCGGUGCCGGAAGGUUAAUUGAUGGGGUCAGCGCAAGCGAAGCUCCUGAUCGAAGCCCCGGUAAACGGCGGCCGUAACUAUAACGGUCCUAAGGUAGCGAAAUUCCUUGUCGGGUAAGUUCCGACCUGCACGAAUGGCGUAAUGAUGGCCAGGCUGUCUCCACCCGGGACUCAGUGAAAUUGAACUCGCUGUGAAGAUGCAGUGUACCCGCGGCAAGACGGAAAGACCCCGUGAACCUUUACUAUAGCUUGACACUGAACACUGGUCCUUGAUGUGCAGGAUAGGUGGGAGGCUUUGAAGUGUGGACGCCAGUCUGCAUGGAGCCAUCCUUGAAAUACCACCCUUUAAUGGCUGGUGUUCUAACGUGGGCCCGUGAACCGGGUUGCGGACAGUGUCUGGUGGGUAGUUUGACUGGGGCGGUCUCCUCCUAAAGAGUAACGGAGGAGCACGAAGGUUGGCUAAUCCUGGUCGGACAUCAGGAGGUUAGUGCAAUGGCAUAAGCCAGCUUGACUGCGAGCGUGACGGCGCGAGCAGGUGCGAAAGCAGGUCAUAGUGAUCCGGUGGUUCUGAAUGGAAGGGCCAUCGCUCAACGGAUAAAAGGUACUCCGGGGAUAACAGGCUGAUACCGCCCAAGAGUUCAUAUCGACGGCGGUGUUUGGCACCUCGAUGUCGGCUCAUCACAUCCUGGGGCUGAAGUAGGUCCCAAGGGUAUGGCUGUUCGCCAUUUAAAGUGGUACGCGAGCUGGGUUUAGAACGUCGUGAGACAGUUCGGUCCCUAUCUGCCGUGGGCGCUGGAAGAUUGAGGGGGGCUGCUCCUAGUACGAGAGGACCGGAGUGGACGCAUCACUGGUGUU